Molecule: ribosomal RNA, 1000 nt
Filed under: uncultured bacterium
Lineage: Bacteria
Description: bacterial SSU rRNA
Rfam family: Bacterial small subunit ribosomal RNA (bases 1-604)
Source: RNAcentral
UUAUAAGACAAGUCGGGAAGAUUUUUCGCUAAGGGAUCGGUCUAUGUUCCAUCAGCUUGUUGGUGAGGUAAUGGCUCACCAAGGCUAUGACGGAUAUCUGGUUUGAGAGGAUGAUCAGACACACUGGAACUGAGACACGGUCCAGACUCCUACGGGAGGCAGCAGUGAGGAAUAUUGCACAAUGGAGGAAACUCUGAUGCAGCAACGCCGCGUGGAGGAUGACGCAUUUCGGUGUGUAAACUCCUUUUAUUAGGGAAGAUAAUGACGGUACCUAAUGAAUAAGCACCGGCUAACUCCGUGCCAGCAGCCGCGGUAAUACGGAGGGUGCAAGCGUUACUCGGAAUCACUGGGCGUAAAGGGUGCGUAGGCUGGCUUUUAAGUCAGAUGUGUAAUCCAAUGGCUCAACCAUUGAACUGCAUUUGAAACUGAAAGCCUAGAGUUCAGAAGGGGCAGAUGGAAUUAGUGGUGUAGGGGUAAAAUCCGUAGAUAUCACUAGGAAUUUAUAAGACAAGUCGGGAAGAUUUUUCGCUAAGGGAUCGGUCUAUGUUCCAUCAGCUUGUUGGUGAGGUAAUGGCUCACCAAGGCUAUGACGGAUAUCUGGUUUGAGAGGAUGAUCAGACACACUGGAACUGAGACACGGUCCAGACUCCUACGGGAGGCAGCAGUGAGGAAUAUUGCACAAUGGAGGAAACUCUGAUGCAGCAACGCCGCGUGGAGGAUGACGCAUUUCGGUGUGUAAACUCCUUUUAUUAGGGAAGAUAAUGACGGUACCUAAUGAAUAAGCACCGGCUAACUCCGUGCCAGCAGCCGCGGUAAUACGGAGGGUGCAAGCGUUACUCGGAAUCACUGGGCGUAAAGGGUGCGUAGGCUGGCUUUUAAGUCAGAUGUGUAAUCCAAUGGCUCAACCAUUGAACUGCAUUUGAAACUGAAAGCCUAGAGUUCAGAAGGGGCAGAUGGAAUUAGUGGUGUAGGGGUAAAAUCCGUAGAUAUCACUAGGAAU